CCAAUAGCGUAUAUUAAAGUUGUUGCAGUUAAAAAGCUCGUAGUUGAAUUUCGGGAUCAAUAUGUCGGUCGUGCUCUUUGGUACGUACUGGCGUCAUUGGUUUCUCCUUUCUGACGAACCAUGAUGUCAUUAAUUUGGUGUUAUGGGAAGUUAGGACUGUUACUUUGAAAAAAUUAGAGUGUUUAAAGCAGGCAUUAGCUUGAAUACAUUAGCAUGGAAUAAUGAAAUAGGACGUUCGAUCCUAUUUUGUUGGUUUCUAGGAUCAACGUAAUGAUUAAUAGGGAUAGUUGGGGGCAUUAGUAUUCAAUUGUCAGAGGUGAAAUUCUUGGAUUUAUUGAAGACUAACUACUGCGAAAGCAUUUGCCAAGGAUGUUUUCAUUAAUCAAGAACGAAAGUUAGGGGAUCGAAGACGAUCAGAUACCGUCGUAGUCUUAACCAUAAACUAUGCCGACUAGGGAUCGGAUGAUGUUAAUUUUUUAAUGACUCAUUCGGCGCCUUACG
This 501-nucleotide ribosomal RNA is filed under the name uncultured Glomeromycotina. Its description in RNAcentral is "partial small subunit ribosomal RNA". It matches the Rfam family "Eukaryotic small subunit ribosomal RNA", at positions 591 to 1092 of the family's 1831-position model. Lineage: Eukaryota; Fungi; Glomeromycota. The record is from RNAcentral.